Molecule: transfer RNA, 69 nt
Filed under: Sphaerodactylus townsendi
Lineage: Eukaryota; Metazoa; Chordata; Lepidosauria; Squamata; Sphaerodactylidae
Description: tRNA-Ala
Source: RNAcentral
GCCGUUGCUCGGUGGAAGACCAUCUGCUUGGCGUGCAAAAGGUCCCGGGUUCAAUUCCUGGCAUCUCCA